UACUACCUUCGGUGGGGUGCCUAGUCUGCCUAAUACCUUAGUGGUAUGCUCGUGUGUUUGUUGCUGUUAGUGUUGUGGCAGCAGCAGCGGCAGACAUGCCAGUCCAUAUCCGAGGCGGUGGAAUAGUGCAUGAGCUUCUAUUAACAUCCAACUGCAGCUGUAUGUGCGCUGGGUGUCAUCCAUCCGUCCAUCUCUCUCUCUCUCUCUCUCUAGGUGUGUGUGUGUGUGUGUGUGUGUGCGCGUGUGAGAGAUAUAUAUAUAUAUGUGCGUGUGUAUAUGUGCAGUGCUGGGGUGUUGUGCUUUAGAGCGCGCGUGUGCGAGACAUAACACGUGUGUAUAGCCCUCUAUAUAUCUGUCUCUCUCACGCCCCUCUAUGUGUAGAGAUAUAUAUAUCACACACGCUCAUAUAUAUGUGCACACGUGCGCCACAUGGGUGCUGUGUGUCGUAUCAUAUCGAAGCGCGCUGUGUGACACGCGCGCGAGAG
Molecule: unclassified non-coding RNA, 485 nt
Filed under: Hymenolepis sp. MS-2020
Lineage: Eukaryota; Metazoa; Platyhelminthes; Cestoda; Cyclophyllidea; Hymenolepididae
Description: sequence contains ITS1
Source: RNAcentral